AAAAAAUUACUUACAAGAGAAUGUAGAAUUGUUUCUGAAAGAGAUUUGCCAUGUUCUUUUUUAUAAAACAAAGAAAGCAAAAAGUUGUGUUUGUCUCAGGAAAGGAAAUCAAUGAGUGCAUAUUUAUUAUAAUGUUAUUUGUUGCCUUUCUUGAUUUCAAAGAACUAUAACCCCUCCAGAAAGAGAAGUCCUUUUGGACAUCCUGCAUGAAGAACUACUCUGACAACUGCAUCUGAACAGAGCACUGAGUAUGGCACUGAAGCAAAGAAAGAGCAAAAGGUGGCAGUCUGCUUCCUCUGCCUGUUAACAGGUCAGACCUGACUCCUCUAUCCUCUUCUAUAGCUAAGCAUGCUUUUAAUGUAUAAGGACAAAGGACUCUCAAGUAAUAGAAUAGAGCCUAGAAAACGAGGAUAUUAUAAUAAUGGCCUUUCUUAAACAUAAAAACCACUUCACUGCUUAUAUGGUGUAAUAUCAAUUUAGAUUGAUAUGAUUUUUUCUUGCCAAUUUGUAUCUUUUACUUCUAGAAGCUUUUCUUCAGUGACCAAUUUCUUUGACCUUAACAGAAAACUGGGCCCCACCAUGUGCUGAGCCUUUAAUGAAUUGGUAGAGACACACCCUAGGAGCUCCAUGUCUGUUCAUAUGGACUAGUUUAAAGAUUAUGGGCUGCUGUAGUCUCAUAGGAGAAAUGGUCUAAAACAUUCUUUACUAUGACCACAAACCUAAUUUGGCGCUCUGGUUGUGCCAGGAGCAAUACUGAGCCUUGACUCUGGCUGUGUGGUUAGCAAGCCUCAGGCAGGCUGGGGCAGUGUCCCACCACUCCCGUUGAGAAAGCAGAAGGCAAUAAUCUCUCUCAGCACUUCUGUUGCUUCGUGGAGUACGUGAAGCUGCUCCAGGUAUGCACUGUCUGUAGCCACAUGCAUGCAAUAAUUUGGAGCCAUUGGACCAUCAGCUGUAAAGCAAAAAAUUAACUUCUGUGGAGAUACAGUUAUGAACAGUAUGAUCUCCUUAUCAAGCUAUCAUGCAAGUAAAUAGCCUCAGUUUGUGGUACAAAUAUUAAAGGAGUUAAUUUGCUUAAAUUUUGCCUGUCAUAUGAAGCCUGUAAUCAGAGCAACUACCAUCUCCUUUGGUAUUCCCUGUGGAGUACAGAGAUUGUUGUCCAAAUACUCACCAGACAAAACUUUCUCUCCUAUAAGGCAACAAACAAGAUAAAACUCAGAAGUUAAUUUUGCUUAUGUAAAAUAGUUCCAUCUAUGUUAUGUUCCUCCUGCUUUUGCCUUGACCCAUUAGCUAGCAAAUCCUCACAGACUUGCACCAAGGCCAAAUUUCUUCACCAAGCACCUCAGCAUGAGCCAAAGGGUGGAUGGAUGCAUCCUGAAAGGCUGACAUCGAGGAGAAGGUACCUACUAAAACACAAUAAUAAUUAUGACAUUUUGCUACUUUGCAAAAUGCUGUUACAAUAUGGCAAGGUUUACUGCAGGGAAAGGGAUGGAGUCAGAAAUAGUUGCUGUAUUUUGUGAACAAAAAGGAGUCUUCAUUUCUGAGUUUUGCAUUGUUAUAGUUGGUAAGAAAUCUGAAAAUGUAUUUCAAUAAUAUGAGAUUAAAUUUAUAAUUACAUAUUUUUACUAUAACAGCAGAGAAAAUAUUUUGAAUUAAGAUCCACUACCAACAAGAGCUGUUAUAGGCAUUAACCUUUGUAAUUGAUUUUAGUCAUCUGUGACCUGAUUAUGAAAAUGCUAGACUUUUGCAAUGCACUUGGAAAUAGUAGGCUGGGCAUGUGAAUCCUGCUAUAAGUUGAUGAUUGUAUUUUAUCCUAUCUCUUGUGACCCUUGGCCUAUUUAAAGCAAAUAUCAGAUGGCCUUUUGUGUUUUGUUUCAUCAGCAAAGAAGACUGGAUGUUUUAACAGGUCUUUAAUAAGCAGCUUUAUGCAUCAGCUGCAGUGCAGGAGGGUGGAUCAAAAUUAUGUUCAAGGUGGAAAAGUAUUUCAUUUAACUACAGACACAGAAGAGUCCAGCACAGCCACUGAAGAUUCCUCUGUAGGCAAUGGACAAGGAUCCCAGCAGCCGUAAGCAAGUGUUUAUAAAUGAGGUCAACUGUCCCCUAGUGAUUUUUGUUUUUCUCUGUCUGGUAUAGUGAGUGAACAAAUUACUAGAUUAUACCUAGACAAUUUCCACCCAGACUAAAAAAGUUAGGGUGAAAUAAUUCCACUAGGAAAAGAACAAAGGUAAACUGAGCUCUAACAGGAUGCGACCUCUCUACGGGGUACUGAGCAGUGCUACUUAAAUGGCCUGUCAAGGUGCCUCACUGAUGAAAAGUAGUCUAAAUCAAAUCUGAGAAUCAAAUCAAAGUGGAACCAAGCAGAAACCAAGAAAUCGAAGCAGACAGCUCAGUCUUGGACAACCCUUUGACAGGGGGCACAUAUCCCAAAAGAGGGUAACUAAAUCAUGCUACUCUUUAGUAAUCAGGCUUUAGUGACCCUCGAAUGAAACUGGUAAAUGGGUAUGAGAUCUAUUAUUUUUUUAACAUAUUGUUUGUUUUUUGUGGUUUUUCUUGGUUGGUUGGUUUAGGGUUUUUUUUUGUUGGCGUGUUUUGGUUUUUGUUGUGAAUGUACAUCAGUCUUUGCCUGUCCGAUAAAGGAGGCCUGACUUUCUUUUAUUUUAUUUUUUUUUUUAAAGGGAUGUCAUGUUUCAUAUAUUCACACUGGUGUUCAGGAACUAAAAAGGGAUCUGUUCCUGAUGUAUUUCCCAGGCACAUCCACGCAGUCCUGGUCCCUAUGCCAGGACACCUACCAAGAUUCUUACCACUCCCUUGCUGCAAGAUAGGAGUAUUUAAUCCGUGGCUUACACCAAGAGAAAGCUUACACCAAUGAAUCACUGAGAAGGAAAUAUCCCAGUUUGCUGGUAGAAGUUCACUUGAAUGGAGUUGUUUUGGGGCCUUUGGCAACACCUUGCUGAAGGCCUUGCUGCUGUUGGACACAAACAAGGCAGAUGAAACUUUGUUCAGAGAGAAAUGAUAUUGUACACUAUAGUGGCCAGAACAUAUCAUUCUUUGUCUUCAUAAUAAAUUAAAACACAAGUUCAAAGAAGAUUUCAGUAGGAACUGAGGACCCUGACAUUUUCACCAGUAAAGGAUUUUUCAGGUGCUUUUGCUCUCAAGUGGAAGAAUCUGGCCCCAUGCUUCCCACUGGGCAGGGCACAUCAUGCUGUAUCUUCUGCAACUUUCCUGCUGACCACUGCUCUUACUUUUCAAAGGUGACACCUGUGAAUCAGUGCUUAAGGCAUGUCACACUCAGCUCUCCCAUCAUUACCAAGAUAAAAAAGUCCCACAGGCAACUCUCCUUCAAGCUCACCUCAGCUACUUAGUGGUUCUUCCACUCGCUACCUCAUGUCUUGGUUUGCUCCUAAACCUCCAUCCAUGAAUUUUCUCCUUCUUUUAUGUCUUUUUUGGAGAAUGUGACUAUUGGUCCUGCUGUUCUCUUGAAACCCAUAUAUAUAUAUUUCCCAUGCUGGCCAAUUGUUUUCUCGAGUGAACAGGAAUUCAAUAUAAUCCAGCAUCCAGUCUGCAGAAAUACUCUUACAAUAAUGUUUUACCUACCUCCAGGAAUCAUUCAAUGUCCAAAUGCAACUGUCUCAUAUUGCAUCCAUGAGUUGUUCAUCUGUAGAUAGUGUGGCAGUGUUGCCAAUGAAUAGCUCAAAAAUUUUAUUAAAAAAUUAGCUUGAAAGACGGUAUUGUGAAAAGAGAGCUUUCUUUUUAAGGGCUGCAUUUGCUUUCAGGUAAAAUUGCUUCAUUUUUUUGCUUCAUUGCUUUUCUUUUUCAUUAUUUUUUCCAAGCCCGAUCAUCCAUCCAGUGUAACUGAGCUGUUUCCAGCAAUGAAUUUUGCUUGCUCCACAUUUCAGGACAAGGUUAUAGCUCUAAAGUGUUUCUGCCACAUAAUUUCUCAUGCAAAAUAUUUUCUCUUCUAGCUAUAAAAUUGCGUGAUCCUGUUAUUCUCACAGAGAUAGGAAUUUAGAAAUGUGGACACCUUCUCAGAUAUUUUUAAGAACAUAACAUGGAAGAUUUCACAGGAAGAGAUGGGCUAAGUGCUCAUUGCUAUUCCUACUUGUCUAAAAUAUUCCUACUUGUCUACAAUAUCCCUGUAAGCCAAGAGUGAAAGUGUUUCAUUCUGCCUCUAAGAAACAGAGCAGGCCAUUACCAGAAUAACUGGUGACACCACUGUCACUCUGGCUCGAGAUUAUCUGGUGCAUAAAAUGUGCAUCAUCAGGCACUUGCUCAGUUCUUUCCUUUAGAUUGCUGAGUACUGUGAAGCCACUCCAAAAAACUUCAGGGGUGUCUGUGGUGGAAGUCCUUCUGCAUAAAUUGACCCUUCCCCGCAUUCCAGUGUUCCUGCUUUGAUAUCCUUUUCUCCUUACCUGCAGGUAUGCUGCACCGUUGCUGUCAAAUUCAAGUAUACUAAUCUCACUGUGCAUCGGUGUUACUCAGAACUUCCUCCUGCCUGAGAAAACUUCCCAGCCGCCUUCAGAGUGCUUGUGCUUUGACUUUGAAGUUACAAUUACCCAGACAAAGCUGCCAGUAGGGAAAUAUCACUCUUUAUUUCCUUUUCCUCUGCAUCAAGGAUUGGAUUUGCACCUUUUGCAAAUCAACACAAGACUGCUGAGGACAGAGAAAUGGUC
Molecule: long non-coding RNA, 4667 nt
Organism: Corvus hawaiiensis (hawaiian crow)
Lineage: Eukaryota; Metazoa; Chordata; Aves; Passeriformes; Corvidae
Exons: 3
Source: RefSeq, a predicted model, not a curated record